RNAcentral lists this long non-coding RNA (820 nucleotides) under Malus domestica (apple). Its description in RNAcentral is "long non-coding RNA (MDOM_LNC012336)". Lineage: Eukaryota; Viridiplantae; Streptophyta; Magnoliopsida; Rosales; Rosaceae. The record is from RNAcentral.
AAAAUCAAAGCUUCAUAGAUUAUGUAUAUGUGAAAAUGUGAACAUCAUGUUCAAUAUAUUUAGAAACACCCUUAAACUGAACCAAAAUUGUUGUUUGGUUCGGUCCAAUUUGAUAUUUUUUUAAUUUUAAGUUCAAAUCAAUUUAAUUUUGGUUUAAUUUUUUCAGUUCAACUUGAUUCGGUUUGGUUUUUUUCAUUUGGUUUUUCAUUUUACUUGAAUAUUGUUUUUCAAUAAAUCAAGAAUUAAACCCAAAACAACAGUGAAUCGUAUCGAACAUGAAGGCCCAGUUCAUCCCGAAAACCAAGAACUAAACCUUUACAUUCAUCAUUGCAACUAAACAGAAUGUCAUCUGAAUUCAUAUAGCUCAUCGAAAGUGAAAUGUACACAUACAAAAUGGCAUCUAAAUUCAUAAUUUCAAUAAUAAUCAUAAAAUUCAACUCAAAACACAAAGAUUCAAGCUGAGAUUAAAAAUCAGCAUCAAUCUGCAGCAACUAGAAAAGGGUCGCAUGCGAGGGUGACUAGGUGAGGCAUGAGUGAGUGAGUGAAAUUCUUCCCCAAAUCAAUCUUCUGCCUCAUAUUUCUGACAAAUUAAUGACGAACUCACAGAAUUAAACAAAACUCACUUGGCCAAAUCCAAUGAACUUGCAAAGGAGAACAAAUCUUAACGUUGAACAGUUAAGGAUAACGAGAGAACUUACCUCGACGAAUAGAACCGUUCUAGUGGCAAAGUCUCCACCAUGGUCAAUGAGACAGUGAAGCACCGUAAAGCUGUGAUUUUUCAAAGAAAUUGGCAAGUGAGUUCCCCAGACAGAGAGAGAGG